This 250-nucleotide ribosomal RNA is filed under the name uncultured bacterium. RNAcentral's name for it is "partial 16S ribosomal RNA". It matches the Rfam family "Bacterial small subunit ribosomal RNA", at positions 525 to 774 of the family's 1533-position model. The record is from RNAcentral.
ACGAACCGUCCAAACGUUAUUCGGAAUUACUGGGCUUAAAGGGUGCGUAGGCGGCGAGGAAAGUAGGGUGUGAAAUCCCUCGGCUUAACCGAGGAACUGCGCUCUAAACUACCUUGCUCGAGGGAGACAGAGGUGAGCGGAACUUAGGGUGGAGCGGUGAAAUGUGUUGAUAUCCUAAGGAACACCGGUGGCGAAGGCGGCUCACUGGGUCUCUUCUGACGCUGAGGCGCGAAAGCUAGGGUAGCGAACG